AAGUCGUAACAAGGUCUCCGUAGGUGAACCUGCGGAGGGAUCAUUACCGAGUGAGGGCCUCCGGGUCCGACCUCCAACCCUUUGUGAACACAUCCCGUUGCUUCGGGGGCGACCCUGCCGGGCGCCCCCGGAGGACCACACAACACUGCAUCUUUGCGUCGGAGUUUACGAGUAAAUCGAAACAAAA
Molecule: unclassified non-coding RNA, 187 nt
Filed under: plant metagenome
Description: partial contains small subunit ribosomal RNA and internal transcribed spacer 1
Rfam family: Eukaryotic small subunit ribosomal RNA (bases 1-46)
Source: RNAcentral